This 547-nucleotide long non-coding RNA is filed under the name Pongo abelii (Sumatran orangutan). RNAcentral's name for it is "lincRNA". Lineage: Eukaryota; Metazoa; Chordata; Mammalia; Primates; Hominidae. The record is from RNAcentral.
AAAUUACUUCUUUCAAGAACGAGUUCAUGUCCUUUGCAGGGACAUGGAUGAAGCUGGAAGGCACCAUUCUCAGCAAACUAACACAGGAACAGAAAACCAAACACCGCAUGUUUUCACUCAUAAAUAAUACAUGAAGCAAGGCACAGUGGCUCACACCUGCAAUCCCAGCACUUUGGAAGGCCGAGGCGGGUGGAUCACCUGAGGUCAGGAGUUCAAGACUAGCCUGGGCAACAUGGAGAAACCCCGUCUCUACUAAAAAUACAAAAAUUAGCUGGGUGUGAUGGUGCGAGCCUGUAAUCCCAGCUACCUGGGAGGCUGAGGCAUGAAAAUCUCUUGAACCUGGGAGGGGAGAUCACGCCACUGCCCUCCAACCUGGGUGACAGAGCGAGGCUCCAUCUCAAAAAAAAAAAAAAAAAAAAAAAAAGAAUACAUGAAAAGUUCCCAAAUCAUAAAUCAAAAAAAAUUAUUGAAAGUUUAUUUACAACUAACAUCUCAUUUGCCCGUAAGUCUCCAUUUCUCCUUAUACGCACUGCAGAUAACAAAACCA